GAAAUGCGAUAAGUAAUGUGAAUUGCAGAAUUCAGUGAAUCAUCGAAUCUUUGAACGCACCUUGCGCUCCUUGGUAUUCCUUGGAGCAUGCCUGUUUGAGUAUCAUGAAAUCUUCAAAGUAAAUCUUUUGUUAACUCAAUUGGUUUCUACUUUGGUAUUGGAGGUCUUUGCAGCUUCACACCUGCUCCUCUUUGUUCAUUAGCUGGAUCUCAGUGUUAUGCUUGGUUCCACUCGGCGUGAUAAGUUAUCUAUCGCUGAGGACACUGUAAAAGGUGGCCAAGGUAAAUGCAGAUGAACCGCUUCUAAUAGUCCAUUGACUUGGACAAUACUUUUAUGAUCUGAUCUCAAAUCAGGUAGUACUACCCGCUGAACUUCAGC
This 378-nucleotide unclassified non-coding RNA is filed under the name plant metagenome. RNAcentral describes it as "partial contains 5.8S ribosomal RNA, internal transcribed spacer 2, and large subunit ribosomal RNA". The stretch from base 1 to 105 matches the Rfam family "5.8S ribosomal RNA", at positions 50 to 154 of the family's 154-position model. The record is from RNAcentral.